RNAcentral lists this long non-coding RNA (476 nucleotides) under Nicotiana tabacum (common tobacco). Its description in RNAcentral is "long non-coding RNA (NTAB_LNC009991)". The record is from RNAcentral. Lineage: Eukaryota; Viridiplantae; Streptophyta; Magnoliopsida; Solanales; Solanaceae.
AAAGGGUUAUAUCAACUCACCUCAAAACUUCUCGAGCCAAUACGUAGUCCCAGUCAAAUUGACACCAGUCAACCAAUCGAUUCUACAACAACCAGUAUAUUUUAAUCAAUUUUAAAGUACUACACCUAAAUAUGAAAUUUAUUGUUGAUAUAGAGGAAGAAGGGAAUUAGCUAUUCAAUUCUUACAUAUUACUACUUUAGGAUAAUUGAGAAUAGGGAAUUUUAUAUACCUGAAUUUAAGAAUUAAUGAUUUGUAAAGAACCCUAGAAUCUUUCCGUAUUAUCUGCGUGAAAUAUUUCCUGGGUUUGCUGCCUCUAUUGCGUUACUCUCUAUUCUAGUCUAUAGGAUUUUUUUCCUGCUUUCGUUACUCUCUGUUCUAGAGUGAACAGUAGAUUUUUAUGUGCAAAGGAACCCCUUUUUUGGUCCCAACAGCCCUUUAUGGGCUUUUAGGUUCACGUUUUCCCUUCUUUCUUUUUU